GACGAACGCUGGCGGCGUGCCUAAUACAUGCAAGUCGAACGCUGAAGAGAGGAGCUUGCUCUUCUUGGAUGAGUUGCGAACGGGUGAGUAACGCGUAGGUAACCUGCCUGGUAGCGGGGGAUAACUAUUGGAAACGAUAGCUAAUACCGCAUAAAAUGGAUUAUCGCAUGAUAAUCCAUUGAAAGGUGCAAAUGCAUCACUACCAGAUGGACCUGCGUUGUAUUAGCUAGUUGGUGGGGUAACGGCUCACCAAGGCGACGAUACAUAGCCGACCUGAGAGGGUGAUCGGCCACACUGGGACUGAGACACGGCCCAGACUCCUACGGGAGGCAGCAGUAGGGAAUCUUCGGCAAUGGACGGAAGUCUGACCGAGCAACGCCGCGUGAGUGAAGAAGGUUUUCGGAUCGUAAAGCUCUGUUGUAAGAGAAGAACGAGUGUGAGAGUGGAAAGUUCACACUGUGACGGUAUCUUACCAGAAAGGGACGGCUAACUACGUG
RNAcentral lists this ribosomal RNA (497 nucleotides) under uncultured bacterium. RNAcentral's name for it is "partial 16S ribosomal RNA". It matches the Rfam family "Bacterial small subunit ribosomal RNA", at positions 28 to 507 of the family's 1533-position model. The record is from RNAcentral.